AUGAACGCUGGCGGCGUGGAUAAGGCAUGCAAGUAGAACGCCCCGCAAGGGGAGUUGCGAACGAGGUAGUAAUACAUAGGUACAAACCCCAGAGUCAGGAAUAACCUACCGAAAGGUAGGCUAAUACUUGAUAGCACCGAAAGGUUAAAGAUUUAUCGCUUUGGGAUUGGCCUGUGCAGUAUCAGCUAGUUGGUAGGGUAAUGGCCUACCAAGGCAAUGACGCUUAGGAGAGCUGAGAGGCUGACCUCCACCGAUGGUACUGAGACACGGACCAUACACCUACGGGUGGCUGCAGUCGAGAAUCUUCCGCAAUGGACGCAAGUCUGACGGAGCGACGCCGCGUGAUUGAUGAAGUCUUUCGGGAUGUAAAGAUCUUUUAUGUAGGAGAAAGUUUUGAUAGUACUACAUGAAUAAGGGGUUGCUAAACUCGU
RNAcentral lists this ribosomal RNA (431 nucleotides) under uncultured bacterium. RNAcentral's name for it is "bacterial SSU rRNA". It matches the Rfam family "Bacterial small subunit ribosomal RNA", at positions 29 to 506 of the family's 1533-position model. The record is from RNAcentral.